Long non-coding RNA from Oncorhynchus keta (chum salmon), 271 nucleotides. RefSeq lists it as uncharacterized. The record is from RefSeq and is a predicted model, not a curated record. NCBI's taxonomy places the organism in Eukaryota, Metazoa, Chordata, Actinopteri, Salmoniformes, Salmonidae. The transcript is spliced from 4 exons.
UGAUGAUGAUGAUGAUGAAGAGGUAUUGUGUGUCUGGGAGGGGUAUAUGUUAAAACGACCAGGUUUGAUGAUGAUGAUGAAGAGAUGUAUUGUGUGUCUGGGAGGGGUAUAUGUUAAAACGACCAGGUUUGAUGAUGAUGAUGAAGAGAUGUAUUGUGUGUCUGGGAGGGGUAUAUGUUAAAACGACCAGGUUUGAUGAUGAUGAUGAUGAAGAGAUGUAUUGUGUGUCUGGGAGGGGUAUAUGUUAAAACAACCAGGUUUGAUGAUGAAG